Molecule: ribosomal RNA, 501 nt
Filed under: uncultured bacterium
Lineage: Bacteria
Description: partial 16S ribosomal RNA
Rfam family: Bacterial small subunit ribosomal RNA
Source: RNAcentral
AUUGAACGCUGGCGGCAGGCUUAACACAUGCAAGUCGAGCGGAGCGAGGGUGCUUGCACCUUAGCUCAGCGGCGGACGGGUGAGUAAUGCUUAGGAAUCUGCCUAUUAGUGGGGGACAACAUUCCGAAAGGAAUGCUAAUACCGCAUACGCCCUACGGGGGAAAGCAGGGGAUCUUCGGACCUUGCGCUAAUAGAUGAGCCUAAGUCGGAUUAGCUAGUUGGUGGGGUAAAGGCCUACCAAGGCGACGAUCUGUAGCGGGUCUGAGAGGAUGAUCCGCCACACUGGGACUGAGACACCGCCCAGACUCCUACGGGAGGCAGCAGUGGGGAAUAUUGGACAAUGGGCGGAAGCCUGAUCCAGCCAUGCCGCGUGUGUGAAGAAGGCCUUUUGGUUGUAAAGCACUUUAAGCGAGGAGGAGGCUCUUGAGGUUAAUACCCUUGAUGAGUGGACGUUACUCGCAGAAUAAGCACCGGCCAACUCUGUGCCAGCCGCCGCAGUAA